This 403-nucleotide ribosomal RNA is filed under the name uncultured bacterium. RNAcentral describes it as "partial 16S ribosomal RNA". It matches the Rfam family "Bacterial small subunit ribosomal RNA", at positions 28 to 526 of the family's 1533-position model. The record is from RNAcentral.
GACGAACGCUGGCGGCGUGCCUAAUACAUGCAAGUCGAACGCAGUGGGGACGGGUGAGUAACACGUGGGUAACCUCCCAUCAGAGGGGAUAACACUUGGCAACAGGUGCUAAACCGAUACUGAUGGAUGGACCCGCGGUGCAUUAGCUAGUUGGUGGGGUAACGGCUAACCAAGGCUACGAUGCAUAGCCGACCUGGUAGGGUGAUCGGCCACACUGGGACUGAGACACGGCCCAGACUCCGACGGGAGGCAGCAGUAGGGAAUCUUCGGCAAUGGACGAAAGUCUGACGGAGCAACGCCGCGUGAAUGAAGAAGGUUUUCGGAUCGUAAAGCUCUGUUGGUAGAGAAGCGGUAUCUAACCAGAAAGCCACGGCUAACUACGUGCCAGCCGCCGCGGUAAUUC